GCAGUGAGGAAUAUUGGACAAUGGGCGCAAGCCUGAUCCAGCCAUGCCGCGUGCAGGAUGACGGUCCUAUGGAUUGUAAACUGCUUUUGCACAGGAAGAAACAACGCUACGUGUAGCGUCUUGACGGUACUGUGAGAAUAAGGAUCGGCUAACUCCGUGCCAGCAGCCGCGGUAAUACGGAGGAUCCAAGCGUUAUCCGGAAUCAUUGGGUUUAAAGGGUCCGUAGGCGGUUUGGUAAGUCAGUGGUGAAAGCCCAUCGCUCAACGGUGGAACGGCCAUUGAUACUGCCAGACUUGAAUUAUUAGGAAGUAACUAGAAUAUGUAGUGUAGCGGUGAAAUGCUUAGAGAUUACAUGGAAUACCAAUUGCGAAGGCAGGUUACUACUAAUGGAUUGACGCUGAUGGACGAAAGCGUGGGUAGCGAACAGGAUUAGA
RNAcentral lists this ribosomal RNA (434 nucleotides) under uncultured bacterium. RNAcentral's name for it is "bacterial SSU rRNA". It matches the Rfam family "Bacterial small subunit ribosomal RNA", at positions 351 to 782 of the family's 1533-position model. The record is from RNAcentral.